CGAGUGCUAUACAUGCAGUCGAGCGGACAGAUGGGAGCUUGCUCCCUGAUGUCAGCGGCGGACGGGUGAGUAACACGUGGGUAACCUGCCUGUAAGACUGGGAUAACUCCGGGAAACCGGGGCUAAUACCGGAUGCUUGAUUGAACCGCAUGGUUCAAUUAUAAAAGGUGGCUUUUAGCUACCACUUACAGAUGGACCCGCGGCGCAUUAGCUAGUUGGUGAGGUAACGGCUCACCAAGGCAACGAUGCGUAGCCGACCUGAGAGGGUGAUCGGCCACACUGGGACUGAGACACGGCCCAGACUCCUACGGGAGGCAGCAGUAGGGAAUCUUCCGCAAUGGACGAAAGUCUGACGGAGCAACGCCGCGUGAGUGAUGAAGGUUUUCGGAUCGUAAAACUCUGUUGUUAGGGAAGAACAAGUACCGUUCGAAUAGGGCGGUACCUUGACGGUACCUAACCAGAAAGCCACGGCUAACUACGUGCCAGCAGCCGCGGUAAUACGUAGGUGGCAAGCGUUGUCCGGAAUUAUUGGGCGUAAAGCGCGCGCAGGCGGUUUCUUAAGUCUGAUGUGAAAGCCCCCGGCUCAACCGGGGAGGGUCAUUGGAAACUGGGGAACUUGAGUGCAGAAGAGGAGAGUGGAAUUCCACGUGUAGCGGUGAAAUGCGUAGAGAUGUGGAGGAACACCAGUGGCGAAGGCGACUCUCUGGUCUGUAACUGACGCUGAGGCGCGAAAGCGUGGGGAGCGAACAGGAUUAGAUACCCUGGUAGUCCACGCCGUAAACGAUGAGUGCUAAGUGUUAGAGGGUUUCCGCCCUUUAGUGCUGCAGCAAACGCAUUAAGCACUCCGCCUGGGGAGUACGGUCGCAAGACUGAAACUCACAGGGAGUUGACGGGGGGCUCGCACAAGCGGUGGAGCAUGUGGUGUAAUUUCGAAGCAACGCGAAGAACCUUACCAGGGUCUUGACAUCGUCUGACAACCCUACAGAUAGGGCUUCCGCUUCGGGGCAGAGUGACAGGUGGGUGCAUGGCUGUCGGUCAGGCUCGGUGUCUGAGAGAUGGUGGGAUUAGGUCCUCCCAAACGAAGCAGCAGUCUCUUGAAUCUUAAGGUAGACCAUUCAUUUCCACUUUGGUCG
RNAcentral lists this ribosomal RNA (1133 nucleotides) under Bacillus licheniformis. RNAcentral's name for it is "bacterial SSU rRNA". It matches the Rfam family "Bacterial small subunit ribosomal RNA", at positions 43 to 1157 of the family's 1533-position model. The record is from RNAcentral. Lineage: Bacteria; Bacillati; Bacillota; Bacilli; Caryophanales; Bacillaceae.